Molecule: ribosomal RNA, 443 nt
Filed under: uncultured bacterium
Lineage: Bacteria
Description: SSU rRNA
Rfam family: Bacterial small subunit ribosomal RNA
Source: RNAcentral
AGAACGAACGCUGGCGGCAGGCCUAACACAUGCAAGUCGAACGCUCCGCAAGGAGAGUGGCAGACGGGUGAGUAACGCGUGGGAAUUUCCCCCAAGGUUCGGAAUAACUGAGGGAAACUUCAGCUAAUACCGAAUGGUACCGAGAGGUUAAAGAUUUAUCGCCUUGGGAUGAGCCCGCGUUGGAUUAGCUAGUUGGUGGGGUAACGGCCCACCAAGGCUUUGAUCCAUAGCUGGUCUGAGAGGACGACCAGCCACACUGGGACUGAGACACGGCCCAGACUCCUACGGGAGGCAGCAGUGGGGAAUCUUGGACAAUGGGCGCAAGCCUGAUCCAGCCAUGCCGCGUGGGCGAUGAAGGUCUUCGGAUUGUAAAGCCCUUUUGGCGGGGACGAUAAUGACGGUACCGCAGAAUAAGCUCCGGCUAACUUCGUGCCAGCAGCCGC